CUUCCCGUCGUCUGCGGCCAGGGUGGGAGCAGGGCACAGGGAGCGAGUCAGGCCCUCCUGGCCCAGGCCCCGCCCCCUAAGCGGGGAUAGGAUUCUGAGUAGGGGCCCAGACCCUCCGGGGACAAGGGGGCUGCACCCAACGGUACCCUCUGAAGGGAACAGGCCCACUUUGCAGGAACCCAAGGGGCAGGGCAGUUCCUGUGCAGCCCUGGGCAGGGACGCCACAAAGGCUCGCCAGACGGAGAACCGAACGGGCUGGGACAGCACGGCAGGGCCCACACGCCACUUGGGGCCGAGGCUCGGUGCACAUCCAUCCGGGCUGGCCCCGGACCUUCACGGAGAAGCCACAGGGAGGCGCAGGGAACCCUCCUGGCUGUCGGGGCCUCUUCGGAAGCAGCCGGCCAGGGAAGCUGGGCUCCGUCAGCAGAGGCUGAGUGGUCAAAGGGGACGGCCAAGGACACCGGGGGUUUGGUCUCUCAGCAGACGUCCCCGUGCAGUCUGGGACAGUGGUCAGCCCCAGCGUGAAGAGACAUGAGAAGGGACAGGGGUGGGGACAGGACUCCGCCGUGGAGGGACUGAGUGCGAGCCUCCACGGGCCCAUCGGGCACGGUGGGGGCUCCCCGGGGGGCCCUGCUUUCGCUUCCAGGCUUUCUCAGGCCAGCUUCUGAAGCCGCCCCGGACCCAGGACAGGAAGACCUGACUUUGGUCCUCCAGGCCUUCCCUGGGCCCGAAUGUGGGUCAGGUGGAAACGGACAUCUGAGUGACGUCCCCCACAGCCUUGUCUCCAUUUUCCCACCCUUCCAAGUGCCUCAAACGGGGAAUCUGGAACCCUGUGUCACGCGGACCUGGGUUCAAGGCCCACCAACCUAAGGCUGUGUGGCGUCAGGCCAUCUGCUCUACCUCUCUGAGCCUCUGCUCCUCUGUGGCAUGAGGUGAAGAAUUCCCACCAGAUGGUGGUUGUGAGGACAACACGAGGUCACUGUGCCAGGCACUGCAUGAGCAUCGCUCCCACAGGCCUUCAGCACGGCCAGACCACACUCGCCUCCUUGGGGAGGCUGCUGAUUGGCUCUCUCGUUUCAGGUCCUCCCCAGAUUUGCCUCCAUCCUAGACUGUGCUCCCACAAACCCCCAACUCUCCCAGGGCCUGAAGCCCCCCACCCUGCCCAACGGUGGGACCCAGGGGAAGCCAGACUCACCGUUCUUGUCGGCUCUGCGGAACACCUGGAGGACAAAGGCAGGGUGGGAGCUGUGAGUGGGCCUGGGAGGAAGCUCUCCCAGAUCUCAUCUGUGCGAAUCUUCACCAGCCUCUGAGACUCCAAGGGAAGUCAUUCACACCUGGCUGUUGUGGCCAUUUGGAGGAGUGAACCAGCAGAUGGAAGACCUCUUUGCUGCAUGUUUACAAGGCCCACAACUACCCAGAAUGAACACAGCCAACUGGUGAGUUGCCUGGGGGCAGGCGAAGGAGGAGUCCACUUACCCCCUGCGGUUUGUCACUUCUCAGGACAAGAUUCUCUACUGGACCCAUCUUUAGCUAGGAGGAAGAUGCCCACCUUUCUUGGAGUCAUGAGGCUCAAACGAGACUGACCGGGGCAGGGCGAGGAAGGGACGUGGGGAACGGCAUUUCCCAGCCAGACUUGCUCCCAGUACAGAGUCCCCAGACCCAGCCCAAACGUCAUCAAAAUAUUUAUUAAAACCAAAGCAGGAGAGAACAGAGCUGUUAGGAAACAAGUCAAAGUGCAGAUGGAGGGUGGGACGGAGCAGCCAGCUGACCACACGAGAGGCCCCUCACUCACCCCUCCUGCCCACCCUCAGGGAAGAUCCCUCACUCCCCUCUCCCUGCUCACGGCCAACCUGGGGGACGGCUGGGGACCUGCAGUGACUCUGGGGAGGAGCCACCCCCUCCAUCACUCACGGCUGGCUGGCUGUCAGUCAGUCUGUCUCCCUCCCUCCUUUUCCCAAUAAAUAAAUCGCUCAGGCCUCAGCUCCUUCCGGGCGGGGUGAGAACAGCUCAGGGCCCCGUCUCUGCUCAGGGACAGGGAGUCAGCUCUGCAGGCCUUCCUCCCUCCGACCCUUUGCCCAUUCCCAGGCUACCCAGGAGGCCUUGAUAAAUAAAUAACGCUCCAUUAAAGCUUCGGUCAGGAAACCCUUAAGACAGAAGUGCUCACUGUCCUGUACCCUCACAGCCAAGGGCUCCCACCUGGCCCGCUCAGCACACAGGAUGCUGUGGGCAGGGGGCUGCCCUGGGCCUCGUGGGGCCCCUGGAGCAAGGAGACCGAAAGUGCAGUUCGAGCCCCCUCACGCGCACACACGGACGCACGCCACACACGUGGACACACUGGGGUGCGUCUGCAGUACACGCACAGAUGUGUUCACCUUCAUUCCCCGGUCCACGCACACAUGCACGCUCACACCACACGCACCCCAGGUACACACGUGGGGGGUGUCAGGGAUAAGCACACACACACUGCAAACAGAAUCCCCCCUUCCUGGCGACAGCCAGAUCCCAGAGCGAGAAGCCCCUGGAGAUAGGAGAGGGGAAUAAAUUAAACAUUUCCAAUCAGGCUGGGAGGACGGCCAGAGGCAAGGGGCUCCGGGGCUGCAGAGACAGCCAGGGUGGGCAUCUCAGGAGAUACCUCCCCCCGAAGC
Oryctolagus cuniculus (rabbit) is the source of this 2645-nucleotide non-coding RNA. Lineage: Eukaryota; Metazoa; Chordata; Mammalia; Lagomorpha; Leporidae. The record is from RefSeq and is a predicted model, not a curated record.